This 71-nucleotide transfer RNA is filed under the name Daphnia magna. It matches the Rfam family "tRNA". From Rfam's summary of the family: Transfer RNA (tRNA) molecules are approximately 80 nucleotides in length. Their secondary structure includes four short double-helical elements and three loops (D, anti-codon, and T loops). Further hydrogen bonds mediate the characteristic L-shaped molecular structure. tRNAs have two regions of fundamental functional importance: the anti-codon, which is responsible for specific mRNA codon recognition, and the 3' end, to which the tRNAs corresponding amino acid is attached (by aminoacyl-tRNA synthetases). tRNAs cope with the degeneracy of the genetic code in two manners: having more than one tRNA (with a specific anti-codon) for a particular amino acid; and 'wobble' base-pairing, i.e. permitting non-standard base-pairing at the 3rd anti-codon position. Lineage: Eukaryota; Metazoa; Arthropoda; Branchiopoda; Diplostraca; Daphniidae. The record is from Rfam by way of RNAcentral.
CCUGUUGUAGCUCAGUGGUAGAGCAUUGGCUGUAUAAGCCAAAGAUAGUGGGUUUCGAUCCCCAAGCAGUA